UACGAAGGGGGCUAGCGUUGCUCGGAAUCACUGGGCGUAAAGCGCACGUAGGCGGACUCUUAAGUCAGGGGUGAAAUCCUGGAGCUCAACUCCAGAACUGCCUUUGAUACUGGGAGUCUUGAGUUCGGGAGAGGUGAGUGGAACUGCGAGUGUAGAGGUGAAAUUCGUAGAUAUUCGCAAGAACACCAGUGGCGAAGGCGGCUCACUGGCCCGAUACUGACGCUGAGGUGCGAAAGCGUGGGGAGCAACAGGG
This 253-nucleotide ribosomal RNA is filed under the name uncultured bacterium. RNAcentral describes it as "partial 16S ribosomal RNA". It matches the Rfam family "Bacterial small subunit ribosomal RNA", at positions 524 to 776 of the family's 1533-position model. The record is from RNAcentral.